Molecule: transfer RNA, 72 nt
Filed under: Humisphaera borealis
Lineage: Bacteria; Pseudomonadati; Planctomycetota; Phycisphaerae; Tepidisphaerales; Tepidisphaeraceae
Description: tRNA-Ala
Rfam family: tRNA
About the family: Transfer RNA (tRNA) molecules are approximately 80 nucleotides in length. Their secondary structure includes four short double-helical elements and three loops (D, anti-codon, and T loops). Further hydrogen bonds mediate the characteristic L-shaped molecular structure. tRNAs have two regions of fundamental functional importance: the anti-codon, which is responsible for specific mRNA codon recognition, and the 3' end, to which the tRNAs corresponding amino acid is attached (by aminoacyl-tRNA synthetases). tRNAs cope with the degeneracy of the genetic code in two manners: having more than one tRNA (with a specific anti-codon) for a particular amino acid; and 'wobble' base-pairing, i.e. permitting non-standard base-pairing at the 3rd anti-codon position.
Source: RNAcentral
GGGACCGUCGUCUAACGGGAAGACUCCCGGUUUGCACCUGGAAAAUGAGGGUUCGACUCCCUCCGGCUUCCA